This 460-nucleotide ribosomal RNA is filed under the name uncultured bacterium. RNAcentral's name for it is "partial 16S ribosomal RNA". It matches the Rfam family "Bacterial small subunit ribosomal RNA", at positions 338 to 795 of the family's 1533-position model. The record is from RNAcentral.
CCUACGGGUGGCAGCAGUGAGGAAUAUUGGUCAAUGGACGAGAGCCUGACCCAGCAACGUAGCGUGAAGGAUGACUGCCCUCUGGGUUGUAAACUUCUUUUAUAUGGGAAUAAAACAGGGUAUGUAUCUCUUCAUGUCUGUACCAUAUGUAUACGGAUCGCCUAACUCAGUGCCAGCAGCCGCGGUAAUACGGAGGAUCCGAGCGUUAUGCGGUCUUAUUGGGUUUAAAGGGAGCGUAGGUGGAUUGUUAAGUCAGUUGUGAAAGUUUGCGGCUCAACCGUAAAAGUGCAGUUGAAACUGGCAGUCUUGAGUGCAGUAGAGGUGAGCGGAAUUCGUGGUGUAGCGGUGAAAUGCGUAGAGAUCAGGAGGAACACCAGUGGCGAAGGCAGCUCACUGGACUGCAACUGACGCUGAUGCGCGAAAGUGUGGGUAUCAAACAGGAUUAGAUACCCCAGUAGUC